UUCAAUGAUAAUCACAAACGUAGCUAUUCUCAGAAACAGCCCAUGCUCCAUCAUGUUCUUGAAUUCAAAAAGUUAACAUGACCAUAUUGAUUCCGGUCAGCGGAUACAUCAUCUUCUCCACACUCUCCAUCUCUCCUCCUUCAAGCAACCCGAGCUUUUACUGAAUCGUCUGCAACUCCCUGGCGAGAUGAACCACUGUGAACACCUGAAACACUUAUUUUUCAAAGCCGUUAUGUUUUCACGAAGAACAUUAUGAA
RNAcentral lists this long non-coding RNA (257 nucleotides) under Eutrema salsugineum. RNAcentral describes it as "long non-coding RNA (ESAL_LNC000936)". The record is from RNAcentral. Lineage: Eukaryota; Viridiplantae; Streptophyta; Magnoliopsida; Brassicales; Brassicaceae.